AAUCUUGUUUAUAAAUAAGGUCUUAAAAAACAAAUUAUUCUGUUAUCCCUGAGGUAUUUUAUUUUUUCUUUUUUCUUCUUUGAUUUUAAAUUAAAAUUUUUUUAUAAAUUUACCCCAAAUAAACUUUUAUUAAAAAUCUCAAGGUCUUCUCGUCUUACUUGAUUAAAAAUUUUUUUAUCUUCAUUUAAUUUUUCUUUUAUUUUUAUUUUAUUUGCUAAAAUUUUUUUCUUUCAUGCUGGAUUGCAAUUAACAAUCUGUUGAUUACCCUACCUUACCGUUUUACGGCUUUUUAUUUAAAAACAAUUACCAAAAUUA
This 315-nucleotide ribosomal RNA is filed under the name Aceria guerreronis (coconut mite). RNAcentral describes it as "partial large subunit ribosomal RNA". The record is from RNAcentral. Lineage: Eukaryota; Metazoa; Arthropoda; Arachnida; Trombidiformes; Eriophyidae.